Saccostrea echinata is the source of this 2067-nucleotide RNA transcript. RefSeq lists it as uncharacterized. The transcript is spliced from 20 exons. The record is from RefSeq and is a predicted model, not a curated record. NCBI's taxonomy places the organism in Eukaryota, Metazoa, Mollusca, Bivalvia, Ostreida, Ostreidae.
ACGGAAUUUUAAACAAUGAUGCUCAAGAUCAUACUUCAAGUUGCAAUAGUUGUUAUAUCUGUUGGCGCACGCUCGGAAGUUACAGCCGGUACAAACACAAUCACCAACAUUCGACCACCAAUGGCCAAAUGUUCUGCCCUAUCAUGCGAGGUGUCAGCCACUGUUCAAUCCGAAUAUGACGUGAAAGAUCAAUGGGUGAUAUUCAAAAACAAUACUGCAAUGAGAAUUACAGACUGGAACACCGACAAAAAUAAAUACACAGGUGCGAAAAGCGUUUAUCCCGAAAACUGUAAAUCACAAUGUAAUUAUACAGUGACAUUGGUGAUCCAGAGACCAGACCAAUUCAAAGACUAUGGAUUCUAUCAACUUAUUUUAAAAUCUUACGAUUCUCAAAGAAACCCGUACGAUCAGUUUGUAAUAAAUUUUACCGUGCCAACGACUUAUACAGCUGACAAAGCGAUACCUAAAACUACAACCUUUGAAGACAUUGAAAGAGAUGAUCAAGAACUCCCAUUUACGACGGUUAUAGUCAUUGCCGUGGCAGGAACGUUUGUAGCCGUCUUUAUUUGCCUUACCGUCUGCAUAUUGAUGUUCUGUAGAAAAAAGAAUUCAAAGAACAAAAAGCCGCAUAAACGGAGAAACAGACCUCACAGUUCCUUGGGUGUCUCUACACAUCUGUACGAUGAAGUGGAGUCCGUUGCGACUAAUGCAUAUUGCGAGCUAAAUGACGAAAGUCGUAAAACGUCAGCUCACCAGUACAUUCAACCUAUUCCAGAAGAAACUCCUAUUUACAAGGCUCCAGAGAUUUUUUCGAACACUGAAUCGCCCACUUCUGGACGAGCUCAGACACAAGAGAGUACCAAGGAUACAAUGGGGUAUUUACAACCUUCGAUAAAGUUUAGACCAGAUAUGAUGAUGAUAAAUGAAUUAUACGAAGAAGCCAAUAAACCAAGAGACAAGAAACCUCUGGAACCAACAUAUAGUAAUGCAGGAAAAUUCCCAGUGUUGCCAAGAAAAGAUUCAAAGACAUUAGUGGAAGACCUUCAGUCAGUUUUAGAAAAAAACGAUAAAGACAAUGACAAUGAAUAUGCCCAACCUUGUCGCCCUUUAAAAACAAAUAUUACGAAUCAGCUAUAUGCAGAAGCAAACAAAUCGGAAACAAAAACAACAGAAGAGCCCACAUACGGAAAUGAACAGAGACCGCCACUGUUACCAAAGAAAGUGUCGAGAACAGUGACGGUGGACGGGAACCCUUGUGUAAAGGAAUCCUUGCUUUUAAAAUCUGACACACCAAUUGUUCCUCCAAAACCAUUCAGCAGGAAUAUAACAAACCAACUUUAUGAUGAAAGAGAAAAUUUGUACUCACAGAAAAAACAGCUGACGGCCACAUACAGUAAUCCUCCAGCUAUAAAACUUCCAACUAGAAAAUUUUCACGAUCACGAUCGGACGAUUCAGAGUUGUCGCACGUGCAUUCAUACUGACCACAUCUUUACAAGCUAGUGAACUCUAGGAUUAUUUGGUUUAUGACCUUUAUAUAACAGAGACAGCUAACACAGACCAGGGUAUAGUUAUAUACAAUGUAUAUAGGGAUAUGAUUUAAUUGUUUGAUUGUUGUUUUUUUAAAAAAAUGGAAUUGUAAUGUCGAUGUUUAUGCAAUGUUAUACAAGAUAAUAAAAUAAAUAUAUGAAAAAUAAUCGACUUGAAUUUAUUCAUGAAACCUGUACAGUAUCAAAUAUGCAACAUACAUGUAUUAUAUCACUCAUUACAUUGAAAGAUUCUGCAUGUAUAAAUAGGAAAAUGAACAAUCAUAAUAAAUAAACAAACAAUUUUAUGUAACAAUGAAAUAUAAUUCUAAUUUACAAUAUUCUUGUUGAAUACAAAUAAAACAACUAUUUCAAUAAAUAUCUUCAAAACUUGAACAACUUUUCUUUUAAUGUCAAGCAGAUUUUCCAACAAUUUGUAGAUGAAUAAUUUAUUAAACUGUGAUUUGCAUGAUUAGGAUGUAAUUGUUCCUCAAAGAUCUAUAUCACCGGACAUGGGUUAAUUAUUUGAACAAGUAUAUUCAA